AGAUUAAGUUAUUAAGGGCGCACGGUGGAUGCCUUGGCACUAGAAGCCGAUGAAGGACGUUACUAACGACGAUAUGCUUUGGGUAGCUGUAAGUAAGCGUUGAUCCAGAGAUUUCCGAAUGGGGGAACCCAGCAUGAGUUAUGUCAUGUUAUCGACAUGUGAAUUCAUAGCAUGUCAGAAGGCAGACCCGGAGAACUGAAACAUCUUAGUACCCGGAGGAAGAGAAAGAAAAAUCGAUUCCCUGAGUAGCGGCGAGCGAAACGGGAAGAGCCCAAACCAACAAGCUUGCUUGUUGGGGUUGUAGGACACUCUAUACGGAGUUACAAAAGAAACUGUUAGACGAAUCAUCUGGAAAGAUGAAUCAAAGAAGGUAAUAAU
Molecule: ribosomal RNA, 378 nt
Filed under: Staphylococcus epidermidis
Lineage: Bacteria; Bacillati; Bacillota; Bacilli; Caryophanales; Staphylococcaceae
Description: bacterial LSU rRNA
Rfam family: Bacterial large subunit ribosomal RNA
Source: RNAcentral